UACGAAGGGGGCUAGCGUUGCUCGGAAUCACUGGGCGUAAAGCGCACGUAGGCGGCUUCUUAAGUCAGGGGUGAAAUCCUGGAGCUCAACUCCAGAACUGCCUUUGAUACUGAGGAGCUUGAGUCCGGGAGAGGUGAGUGGAACUGCGAGUGUAGAGGUGAAAUUCGUAGAUAUCGAGAGGAACACCGGUGGCGAAGGCGGCCAACUGGACAGAUACUGACGCUGAGACUCGAAAGCGUGGGGAGCAAACAGG
Molecule: ribosomal RNA, 253 nt
Filed under: uncultured bacterium
Lineage: Bacteria
Description: partial 16S ribosomal RNA
Rfam family: Bacterial small subunit ribosomal RNA
Source: RNAcentral